GUGGAUUUUAGAGGGUAAUAUUCAAAGUCACACGGUUGCUGCACAGCAGACCCCGAUACACAGAAUUGUGUACUUGGAAUUCUCUCUUAAUGACUUUUCUAGGAGACCAUGUGGUUUUGACUAGACAACCAAGUGAGGAAAAUUCUGAGUGCUAUCUCUGCUCCAAAGCCAGAUGAUGAAACCUUUCCAUGGAGGCUGUGCAGGUACCUCCAGAGAAUUCUUCAGAUUUUUGCGUUUCCUUUUUUUUUCUACUGUAAAACAAUAUGCUCUGUUUUUGAAGAGACUUUUUGAAGCAACAGGAUAAAGAAAAGGCAGUGAUGGCCAAGAAAGGGAAACAGAAGCAGUUAAUGAGGCUGCAGGACCUCAUCUGGAACUAAAGCACAUACCAGCUGAAGAGAAAGAAUGUCAAACACUAUGAAUUAACAGAAAAAGUAAUCUACCACAGGAAAAAGAAGAAAGCUGAUAUAAGAAGGCUUCCUGAAUUGUCACAAAAAAGCGGAACCACUUUAAAU
Long non-coding RNA from Prionailurus viverrinus (fishing cat), 512 nucleotides. RefSeq lists it as uncharacterized. The record is from RefSeq and is a predicted model, not a curated record. Lineage: Eukaryota; Metazoa; Chordata; Mammalia; Carnivora; Felidae. The transcript has 5 exons.